UACGUAGGGAGCAAGCGUUGUCCGGAAUCAUUGGGCGUAAAGCGCGCGUAGGUGGCCUCAUAAGUCCGCUGUGAAAGUCAAAGGCUCAACCUUUGAAAGCCGGUGGAUACUAUGAGGCUAGAGUACGGAAGAGGCGAGUGGAAUUCCUGGUGUAGCGGUGGAAUGCGCAGAUAUCAGGAGGAACACCAAUAGCGAAGGCAGCUCGCUGGGACGUUACUGACGCUGAGGAGCGAAAGCGUGGGGAGCAAACAGG
RNAcentral lists this ribosomal RNA (253 nucleotides) under uncultured bacterium. RNAcentral's name for it is "partial 16S ribosomal RNA". It matches the Rfam family "Bacterial small subunit ribosomal RNA", at positions 524 to 776 of the family's 1533-position model. The record is from RNAcentral.